GACGAACGCUGGCGGCGCGCUUAACACAUGCAAGUCGAGCGAUAACCAUGGCUUCGGCCAUGGGGAGAGCGGCGAACGGGUGAGUAACACGUGAGUAAUCUGCCCUCGACACUGGGAUAGCCCGGGGGAAACCCGGAUUAAUACCGGAUAGCCUCUCGAGCUUUCGGGCUCGUGAGAAAAGAUGGCUUCGGCUUUCGGUUGAGGAGGAGCUUGCGGCGGAUUAGCUUGUUGGUGAGGAACGGCCCACCAAGGCGACGAUCCGUAGCUGGUCUGAGAGGACGAUCAGCCACACUGGGACUGAGACACGGCCCAGACUCCUACGGGAGGCAGCAGUGGGGAAUCUUGCGCAAUGGGCGAAAGCCUGACGCAGCGACGCCGCGUGAGGGAAGAAGG
This 393-nucleotide ribosomal RNA is filed under the name uncultured bacterium. Its description in RNAcentral is "bacterial SSU rRNA". It matches the Rfam family "Bacterial small subunit ribosomal RNA", at positions 28 to 414 of the family's 1533-position model. The record is from RNAcentral.